Molecule: ribosomal RNA, 529 nt
Filed under: Salmonella enterica
Lineage: Bacteria; Pseudomonadati; Pseudomonadota; Gammaproteobacteria; Enterobacterales; Enterobacteriaceae
Also listed under: 1 other name
Description: partial 23S ribosomal RNA
Rfam family: Bacterial large subunit ribosomal RNA
Source: RNAcentral
CCGAACCGACUAAUGUUGAAAAAUUAGCGGAUGACCUGUGGCUGGGGGUGAAAGGCCAAUCAAACCGGGAGAUAGCUGGUUCUCCCCGAAAGCUAUUUAGGUAGCGCCUCGUGAAUUCAUCUCCGGGGGUAGAGCACUGUUUCGGCUAGGGGGCCAUCCCGGCUUACCAACCCGAUGCAAACUGCGAAUACCGGAGAAUGUUAUCACGGGAGACACACGGCGGGUGCUAACGUCCGUCGUGAAGAGGGAAACAACCCAGACCGCCAGCUAAGGUCCCAAAGUCAUGGUUAAGUGGGAAACGAUGUGGGAAGGCCCAGACAGCCAGGAUGUUGGCUUAGAAGCAGCCAUCAUUUAAAGAAAGCGUAAUAGCUCACUGGUCGAGUCGGCCUGCGCGGAAGAUGUAACGGGGCUAAACCAUGCACCGAAGCUGCGGCAGCGACACUGUGUGUUGUUGGGUAGGGGAGCGUUCUGUAAGCCUGUGAAGGUGUGUCGUGAGGCAUGCUGGAGGUAUCAGAAGUGCGAAUGCUGA